GACGAACGCUGGCGGCGUGCUUAACACAUGCAAGUCGAACGGAAAGACCCUGCUUUUGUGGGGUGCUCGAGUGGCGAACGGGUGAGUAACACGUGAGUAACCUGCCCUUGACUUUGGGAUAACUUCAGGAAACUGGGGCUAAUACCGGAUAGGAGCUCCUGCUGCAUGGUGGGGGUUGGAAAGUUUCGGCGGUUGGGGAUGGACUCGCGGCUUAUCAGCUUGUUGGUGGGGUAGUGGCUUACCAAGGCUUUGACGGGUAGCCGGCCUGAGAGGGUGACCGGCCACAUUGAGACUGAGAUACGGCCCAGACUCCUACGGGAGGCAGCAGUGGGGAAUAUUGCACAAUGGGCGGAAGCCUGAUGCAGCAACGCCGCGUGCGGGAUGACGGCCUUCGGGUUGUAAACCGCUUUCGCCUGUGACGAAGCGUGAGUGACGGUAAUGGGUAAAGAAGCACCGGCUAACUACGUG
Molecule: ribosomal RNA, 468 nt
Filed under: uncultured bacterium
Lineage: Bacteria
Description: partial 16S ribosomal RNA
Rfam family: Bacterial small subunit ribosomal RNA
Source: RNAcentral